Molecule: non-coding RNA, 1598 nt
Organism: Arachis ipaensis
Lineage: Eukaryota; Viridiplantae; Streptophyta; Magnoliopsida; Fabales; Fabaceae
Source: RefSeq, a predicted model, not a curated record
GUCGCCAAGGUCUUCCAGCCACCGUUGUUGCUCUUGUCGCAACACCACACCUCCGCCGCUUGCACCGCCUCCGUUCUUGCGUGUAGACGCACAAGAUCGUCGCCGUGUGAUGAAGAACAAAGAAGAAUGAUAUAUCGAUGAUGAACUGCCAUGGUGAACUAAGAUAGUACCAUAAGGUGUGUAUGAGACCUCAAAAUGUGAAAUCAAUAAGAAACCCUCUCUCUCUCUCUCUCUCACUGCUUAUAUUAUUUAUUAGUUAUUUCAUUAAAGAGUGUGUGAUAUGGUUAUGGUAAGAAUGAAGAGAAGAAGAAUCAUAGCAAGCUUGGGUUUUCUAAUGUUAAUGGGCGUUGCUGUCUAUUUCAGGCUUUGGGCCAUUCACUAUAGCAUCUUCUCUGAUGACUCUGACCUCCUAAGCUUACCUUCUAACCCCUUUCUCAUAAUUUAAGAUUUAUGGCACUUUGAUUGUAAUUUGCGGUUCUAGUUUGAUAGAGCAGAUAGAUUUGUGAUCAUAAUAUCCCCUUGUUUUGUUUGCCAAUUCAUGAUGUUUGCAGGCGACAGUUUGACAUUGCUAACGGGGAAGCAAUGGACAAAUCUGCUGAGUGAAGGCUAAGGUAUGACGAGGCUGUAGAUAGAGAAAACAAGUGUUUGCAGGAGCUUCAAGGGCAUUUGGCCAACAAUUUUCUAAUUGGAUAUGACGAAUUUUCUAACCUCUACCCACCGUGCCAAGUGGAUCUUCACUCCUCAACAGUUGGUGGCCUCAAUCUAUUGUUCCAACUUUCAAAAUCCUAGCAUGUGAAUGUUUGCACAAGGUCCAAAUUGGGGAACAAAUAUCACUAGUGAGAAAGGAUGAAGGUUUCUUGGCCACUGUCUAUGAGGGAGGCUAUAGCGCACUACUAUCUGUUUGAGUACUUUCAAGAUGACUUAAUAGUCGUUCUUACAAAUUCAGUUCCUGAGUCAAAUGGUGUCAAUUCGAUCAUCAACGGUUUGAAUGAGGUGAUUCCUGAAGCAAAGGAGGAUUUGCAUUGCAGAAGGUGACAUCAGAAAAAAGUUACUUUCGGACAAUAACAAUUAGCAGCAAAUAUGGACAUAAAGCUGGAUUUUGUGCCUCCAUCUCUCAUAAACUUCAUUUCGAGGCAGUUGAUUGGCAAUGGUUUCAGGCUUUACAAGAAGACUAUGGCUUCUAUGAUGAGCCAUGGUGAAGAAGAAUUGAGCAAGGCAUUGGGGGAUCCAUUAUAUACGUCAGAAUUCGUGAAUCUUUAUAUAGCAGUAACGGAUCAAAGGCUAAGGUCAAUGAAGAGCUUGAGCUUAAACAAGAUGCGGAUAUUCUCCCUGCUGAAGAGGACCUUAUUGAAAGUAAGCAAGAUGAGGCAAAGGUUGCAGCUGAAGAGGAUAAAAGCAAUCAAUAGGAAAAUAGUACCACGUCGAUGGUGGUGAAUGGAGUAGUAGCAAAUAGUAGCAAAACAAUAAAUAGAGAGCUCAUUGGCAACUCUUAAAGCACCAAACACAACCAUGCAAAAUCCUAGCAGAAGCAAAUCACUUUGCUCUCUGAUUCAACACAUUCUUAAUUUUCUAAGAUUAAUGAUACUGCUGGUUGGGAA